CCUACGGGAGGCAGCAGUGGGGGAUAUUGGACAAUGGGGGAAACCCUGAUCCAGCGACGCCGCGUGAGUGAAGAAGUAUUUCGGUAUGUAAAGCUCUGUCAGCAGGGAAGAAAGAAAUGACGGGACCUGACCAAGAAGCCCCGGCUAACUACGGGCCAGCAGCCGCGGUAAUACGUAGGGGGCAAGAGUUAUCCGGAAUUACUGGGUGUAAAGGGAGAGUAGACGGUGAUGCAAGGCUGGAGUGAAAGGCGGGGGCCCAACCCCCGGACUGCUCUUGAAACUGUUUAACUUGAGUGCAGGUGAGGUAAGCGGAAUUCCUCGUGUAGCGGUUAAAUGCGUAGAUAUUAGGAGGAACCCCAGUGGCGAAGGCGGCUUACUGGACUGUAACUGACGUUGAGGCUCGAAAGCGUGGGGAGCAAACAGGAUUAGAUACCCUUGUAGUC
Molecule: ribosomal RNA, 443 nt
Filed under: uncultured bacterium
Lineage: Bacteria
Description: partial 16S ribosomal RNA
Rfam family: Bacterial small subunit ribosomal RNA
Source: RNAcentral